GCUUCCCCUUCCACUGGUGCUCUUACUGAGAUGUUCAUUGCUACCUAUGAGGUCAGAGUCCAGGGUCAGUCCAUGUAUAGUCUUUAGGUAGUGGCUUAGUCCCUGGAAGCUCUGGUUGCUUGACAUUGUUGUACAUAUGGGGUCUCGAGCCCCUUCAAGCUCUUCCAGUUCUUUCUCUGAUUCCUUCAACGGGGGUUCUAUUCUCAGUUCAGUGGUUUGCUGCUGGCAUUCGCCUCUGUAUUUGCUGUAUUCUGGCUGUGUCUCUCAGGAGCGAUCUACAUCCGGCUCCUGUUGGUCUGCACUUCUUUGCUUCAUCCAUCUUGUCUAAUUGAGUGGCUGUAUAUGUAUGGGCCACAUGUGGGGCAGGCUCUGAAUGGGUGUUACUCCAGUCUCUGUUUUAAUCUUUGCCUCUUUCUUCCCUGCUAAGGGUAUUCUUGUUCCCCUUUUAAAGAAUGCGUGAAACAUUCACAUUUUGAUCAUCCGUCUUGAGUUUCAUUUGUUCUAGGCAUCUAGGGUAAUUCAAGCAUUUGGGCUAAUAGCCACUUAUCAAUGAAAUUCCAAUAUUCUUAAAGAAAGUUGCUUAAUUUAAUAUCACGAAUGUAUGUGUAAAGGGUCAACAUCUGGUGUUGAGCAUUGUCUUAUUUUGCCUCCCCAAAAAACCAUAACUAAAAAAGGAUCAUCAAAAUGUUACAUUUUUAUGUUUUAAGCAUUUUAGCACUUCACCACAGUUUUAAUGGCUGUAUUUAAGCUGUAUUUAAUGGCUUGAAGAUAAAAAUGUGCAUCAGAGAAUGGCCACUAAAAGUAUACAGAGCACUCAGGAAUGCUUAAAUAAAUAGAAUACAAACCCAGACGUCUAAGAGCAUUUUGAGAGAGUCUGUACUGUUAUGUUCUAUCUUCCUUUCACAUUUCCUAUAUCUUUAAUAGGGUACAGAGUGGGGAACUAUGAAUUAUAUUUCCUAGGUGACUUUCAAAUCAAGAGUGUGCAUGUGACUAAGUCCUAGCCAGCAACAUAUGAACCGAGGCCACAGUCAAAAUGACUGCCAUUUCCUUCUUUAUGUUUACCCUCCCUAGUACUGAGGAUCAAAUUCCAAUAUUCUUAGAGAAAGUUGCUUAAUUUAAUAUCAAGAAUGUAUGUGUAAAGGGUCAACAUCUGGUGUUGAGCAUUGUCUUAUUUUGGCUCCCCAAAAAAUCACACUUCCAGGCCUGAGGCUCCUGGAGUCCUUUAAUUGAAAAUAAAGAAUUGCCAUAUAAGCAAUGGCUGGGUAGAAAGACAGAAAGACAGGGCAAGGGAUUGAGAGAGGGGAGAAUGAAGAGAAUCACCAUGAUCCAUAUUUAGAAGGAUCAGAUUUAAGAGCUGCAAGAGAGAAAGCAGCCUACAAUAUAGGUGGAAGGGAAUAGGACCCUAUAGGGAAAGUGGAGACUUUCCCAGAAGGUAACAGAGCAACAAAGAUAAAACACAGAUUUAAACAAAGAUCCCUCGUUGGAUACCAGAGGGAAAUGUAUGCCAGAUGUCAGGAGGAUUAGAAAUGUCCAGCCAUUGGGCUUACUCGAGGUGUAUCAAAAUUAACUGGUGUGCAUGUAUGUGUGUAAGUGUGUGUGUGUGUGCGUGUGCGUGUGCGUGUGCAUGUGCGUGUGCAUGUGCAUGCGCACAUCUGGGCACGUGUGUGUUUCAUUCAGAGAACUCUUGAGCAGUGCCAUUACUAACUAUGGAGCCAAAGCAGAAAAAUGGAUUCAAUGCUACAGUCUAGUACAUUGAGGUCUCAAGUGAGGUUUGCAUUAACCUAGAUAUGGGGGGUUCACAGCCCAGUCAGCCAAUGCACAGUUUAUUCAGUUUCAACUUCUUUUAAAGGCAAAGCAGGAUAAAGGUUUCCUACAAUAUAUAGUUCUCACCAGCUGCUGCUUCCCUACCAAUAGAAUAUCUUGGAUCGAAGUGAUGUAAACCUCUUUGCAAACUGAGAAACUUGUCAGCAGUCCAACUCUUCGAUCUGUUAGAUGUGCUGUUGUCUAAUUAACCUAUAAACAAAGUUACUUUUUCACGAGAGAAUGAUCAUGAAGGCCACGUCCUCAGGUUUGCAGCUUACUUGGCAGUAGGAGUUACCAGAAUCCUCUGCUUAAGGAACUGUGCCUCCUCGGUAUCUCAGUGUGCUGGGAGUGACCAAACCAUCCUAGCAUGCCCUGCAGCUGACAAGCUAGGAGCAGUUGCUUCCUGUCAUUUCUCUACAGUAGACUAAAAUAGUGUCAAAUGAAAUCUGUAGAGAACGGCUAAGCAGACAGAGUGACCCGUGGUCCUUAAUAGCCAGAGAAAUGCUGCCCUCUGUGGAUUAGCUGCCUACUUUCGGGCCAGCACAGGCAAUAGGAAAGUCUCAGUAUUUGCAUCAGAUCCAGUCUUUUCCAAUCUCUUGGCCUGUGCCCUAGUGAACUUAAGAACACUUAAUGAUUUUAGUAUUAGUAGUUUAUUCCACAUUUCAGCUACAUAAUUGAGAUUGUGCCAAAAGGGAAAAAAAUGAAACAAAGUACAUACUUAGUAGUCUUAGAUGUAAGAAUCAUAGAGUUUAGAGAAUUAUAUAACCCUUGUCCUAUAAUUAAACCUGCAAGAAGACCCUCUUGGAAGGGUGGGAGAGCAAAUGGACAGGAAACCGGGAAGCGGAAUAAAAUGGAAAUGUAAAUAAAAAAAUACCUAAUAAAAAAUUAAAAAAAAAAAAAAAACAAAGAGGUUCCUCUUAAACCUUGAGUGUGAUCAAACAAGACUAAGCCAGAAAGGAACAUUCUGUUCAGUUUUAUGCUAGACUCAAGAACAAUCAUAUACAAUACACGCAUCUAUCACAGACAUUUUUUUGUCCUCUCCUGCACACAUAGAAAGCCAUGGGGCCAGAAACUCAGAUAAUAAACUUGAGUCCAAACACAAGAAGCAAAUUAAAAUAACAACAACAAUAAAGAAACCUGGUUUGGUGGCACACACUUGUGCUGGGGAGACAGAGACUCCAUAUCCUCCCUAGCCAGAUGGCCAAGUCGACCUGUCCUAUUGAUGGCACCUGAAGAGUAACACCCAAGGUUUUCCGCUGGCCUCCACACAUGCGAGCUCACAUAUGCAGAGCCACCAGGCCAAAGGAGCCUGUAAAAGGUUUUUCAUGAGGCAAUAAGAUAACUCAAUGUGUAAAGGUUCUUGUGUGGCCAAGCCUGAUGUAACCUGGGACCUACACUGAAACCUGACUCCCACCAGAUGCCCCUGACCUCCUUGUUUUGUGGUUUGGUCUGUUGCUGUGCAUUGUAAUGCUAACUGCAGACCCCCAAGGCCUGAUUGUCCCAGAGACAAGAGUCCACAAGUAGACCCAAGUGAUGAGAUGUGAUCUUUUCCCCAAAUUAUUUCUGAUAAGUGAAUAAAGAUGCCAACAGUCAACAGCUGGGCAGAAGACAAAGAGACAGAGUUUAGCAUUCCAGGACUUCUCGCAUCAGAGAAGAACCAUGAGGGGAAAAGAAUGUGAAGGGAGGAGGAAGCCUCCAUGGGUCAGGUAGGUUGGCUAAUUGGAGUUAAGAGAAGCCCAGACAUAGGAAAUUUAAUUUUAUAGUGGGAUUAUUGGCUGUGAAACAGACAUACCAUCAAGAGGAUCCAUAUCUGCCCAGCUCCUUUGCUGAUUAAUGUAAAUAUAAAGCUUGUGGGUGUCUUUUAUCUAGGAACUAAGUAGUCAGAGGAAGGGGAGAAACCCUGUGUGAGGAUUAAACAAUUUCUACAAUAUUCACACAUACAACUCCUGUCAUACAUACACACACAAAAAUAAAAAUUGUCACUUUUAAAAGGGGGUAAAGGAACUUGUCAUCACCCAUGAGGAUCCAAGUUCUAUAACUACAAUUCAUGUGGUAGGAGGAUGACAUCCCCACUCAUUUGUCCUCUGGUCUUCAUACACACACACUAACAUGUAUAGACAUAUGAACACAGAAUAUGUUAAUGAGUUAAUUAAUUAAUUAAUUAAUUAAUUAAAAGUUUUUCUAAUUAUCUGUUCUUGGCCCCAGCUCACUCUGUCUUUGCUUUACACAGCUCAACUCCCCACAUCUGCCUCCCCUUCUCUCAUGCCUGUCAUGCUUUCAUGUGUGUUUCUCCUCCCUUAGUGUCCAUGUUUAAAUCUAUAUUCGCCACCUUAUAAACUAUAGCUCUGGUGAUUAGACAGAUACUUCCCAGGUUAAAAGAACUUGCUGUGCGGUCAGGAGGCCUGCAGUCCGAAUCCCAGAAUCCUGCAAACACCAGUCACUACAGCUGCCAGGAAUCAGACAACAUCUUCUUAGGCAAAAAUAAUGAAAUACUGCCAGUAAUUUGGAUGAACAUACACUUAUGAAUAUAUGGCAAAAUGCAAAACUUUGUCCUUUUAAGAAAUAGCUCACAAAAGAGUGAGGACUGGGGUCAUGAGUCAAAGGGAAGUAAACAUAAAGUUUCUUUUAUACCAUGUGAACCAAACAAGUACUCUUAUCUCUACAAAUCUGUUCCUUUCUCAUAAGCCAAAUUUAAACAAUGCUUUGGAAAACUAUCCACCUGGACCUGGAUCAUCCUGCUCUGUUGUCUCCAUCUUGAUUUUCCUCACCUCUCUUUCUCCUCCCUCCUUCCUAGACAUUUCCCCACCUGCCCUUCCUUCUCAUCCAAUGAUAGGGUAUGCCUUAUCCUGGACUCGCCUUGCUCCAUAAAUGGCAUCACCUUACACAGAGCAGUGCCACAGAUUUCAGCAGAAUACAGGAGAGGGAUGGACUGGGUAAAUAGGACGCUCAAUGUUCAACACAAUGGUGUGAAGGGUCAACAUCUAGUCGAAAUUCUGUUCUCAGACAGAACAAGGCCUACAUUAAACUCCUGGGCUUGGCUAUUUCUGUAGAUUUCUAAUUUCUCAAAGCCUAGCUGAGGAGCCACCCAUUUAGUUGAAAGCUCACCUUGUUCAAUCAUUAAUGUUUAGAAGGGUUUUUUUACCCUUUUACAUCAAUAUGGGAAAGUUCGCCAACAGUAAUAAUAGUCUUCAAUAUAAUAUCUGUUUGUCAAGACCAUUGUCCUCAUGAAGAACUAUUAUAAAAAUUGAGAACCAGCAUGAAGGCUCAGCAAAAGGCUUUUGCCACAAAGCUUGAUGACUUGAAUUCAAUACCUGUAUCACAUAUGGUAGAAGGACCUACCACCCACAAGUUGGCCUCUGACCUCUGCACCCAUACAUGUAUAUACAUACAUACACACAAAAAUGCGAUGAAAAUUAAAAAUGGAAAACCUAACAAAAUUAAUUAUAAUUCAGCCAAGGUACCUUUAGUGCAAUCCAAGUUGCUUUAUCUUCUGCUGACUUAAAAAUACAGAGGGAGAAUGGAAAGAAAUGGCCUAUUGUUUUGACUGUGCCUAAAACCUCAAGCAUGCCCAAGAGAAGGCAAGUCUGUAGGAUGGGCAAGGUCCUAGAGGGAUAGUACCAAAAUAUCACCACACAGUAGAGAACACAUGUAGUCAGAAACUACUUAAACAGAAUGUGUAAGUCCUCAAUACACAGGACACAGUUGAUGGUGCUUAGGGUGCAAUUCUUAGGGGCCCUGCAGCGUGUAAAAUACAUGACACUUGUGUUAUAUAACUGUCUGGGAUUCAGUGAAUCUAUAUGCUUCAGUUCUAGCUUUGGAUAACCUCGGCGGACCUUUGUGGAGUUUUUUAUCAAUAGAGUAGCUCUUUACCUCCUCAUAACCUUAUUAUGCUUUAGGCUUUUAUUGUUUUAUUUUUCCCUCCCACUAUUUAAAGUUGACCAGAAGAAAGGGGUUGUGUUGAGGCUAAGUUGGUUGGUCUGGUUUUCUUCUUGGAGGUAGGCUUCUGAACAUCGAAAUAUCUGAAUGGACCACCUCACCUCUAGAUCCCAAUGAGGGCUUUUCAAUAGAACCCAACUGAAAUUGUCUGAUUGUUUCUUCUCAAAGAUCAGGAAAAAACAACAGUGCCAUUUCAGACCUCUUAUAGAGGGAGGGGCAUGUGGCUGCCUCAGUAUUCUGUUGCUCGUGAUUUUUGUAAAAACCGAAUUUUUAAAGUCUGUUAAUGUUUCACAAAGAGGAAAGCACAGUUUGAGGUAUCCUAUAAUUUUACAGCUUUACAUUGUGUGUUUCUUUCUUUUAGGAGAAACCCUACCCAGUACAAGCCAUCACAUGCACAGAAUGUCCAAUGAGUGGGUUGGUUCUCCACAGUCCUUGGUGUAGUAUUUAGUUUAGUCAUUUACAUUCUUUUGUAUAUGAACCCCAAUAGGCUUAUAUGUUUGAAUACUCAGUCAUCAGGGAGUUGAAUUAUUUGAGAAGGAUUAGGAGGUGUGGCCUUUGGGAAUAGGUAUGGCCUUAUUGGAGGAGGCAUGUUAUUGGAGGAGUGGGUUUCGAGGUUUAAAAGUUCAGUGUAUCAUUCUGGGAUAUAUUAGGAUGUACAGCUCUCAGUUACUGCCCCAGCACCUUCUUACUUGCUUCUGGCCAAUAUAACGUGUACUGAUUUUCUAAAACUGUAAGCAAGCCCCCAAUUAAAUGUUUUCUUUUACAAGAGUUGCUUUAGUCAUGGUAUCUCCUCAUAGCAAUAGAAUCUUGACAAACACAGAGUUUAUUUGACUUACAAUUUCAGGUAACAGUCCAUUAUUUCAGGAAAAUCAUAGGAAUUGCAGGAAUUUGAGGCAGAUGGCUAACGAAUAUUCACAGUCAAGAGUAAAGAGAGCAUAUCUGCACGGAUAGUUACUUACAAACUUUUUUCACUUCUAUAUAUAGUUCAGGGCCCAACCUAGGGAUUGCUGCUGCCCAUAGUGAGCUAGGACUUCUUACUAAGUAUUCAAACAUAUGAACCUUUGGCAGCCACUCUCAUUCAAGCCACCAUAAUCCCUUGUUCCCUAAGUUGAUUCUUGCCAGGAUAUGUAAUGACAGUAAGACAAAUAAGACUAGAACAAAAAUUGGUACCAAGAGUAACAUAGUCGUUGGGUGCUGAGAUUAAAAAAAAAUUAAAGAUAUCUACCACCACCACCACCACAACCACCAAAACGUGCGUAUAGUCCAACAUGAUUGAAACAAUUCCUAAGUAAGACUCUCUUCCCAGGUGAUUCUAGAUUGUGUAAAAAUGACAGCUAAAAGUAGCCAACAAAAUGACCAAAACAAAGAAGAAAAGCAGCCUUAGAAUAUAGCCCCCUUUUCCAUCACUGAGAAAGUGAGAACUCACUACUGCCCAGGAAAAUCUGGACAAUAGUACUUCAGUAGGAAGAGACAUGCAGUGUGUGACAAGACAUUCUACUACCAGUAAACGAUACCAUCUCAGUGGAACCCACUCUUCAUUUAGUAUUUUAUGUUGUGGUAUAAUGUGUGAUGCUCAUUCUCGGAAGAAUUCUGAGAACUUUGCAGUAAUUCUGGAUGGCUUACAAUCCCUGCUCCUGCUGCUGGAUUAAUGAAGCAUAGCUAUAUUUAUGGGUGAGGUUGCUUUUCGGGCCAUUCAGAUUUUCAUUUAGCUACUGUUAUCUGUUGGAGCACGAGUAAGCCACUUAAAAUUUCAAAAUCUCAAUUUUCUUAUCUCAUACGAUGUGAUGAAGAUUGCAAAUCCAUUGCAAUGUCUAUUGUGUAAUAAAUUUUCAAUAAAUUAUGAGAACAUCAUCAACAAAUCUAGACUGUAAGCUUUUAAAGGGCAUGGUGUCAUAUUUUUUCAGUCUAAAGAAUUCAGAUAUUUAAAGUCCUCUAAUUUUAUGAGGUAUGUCUAGUUGAGCACAUAUAAUUCUAGCUUCAUGAAAAUCUGGAACACAAGAACUGACUGGCAGAAUUAGAGAUUCAGCUGUUGCUCAUGUUUUGAGGGAGGUCAGAGGUCAGAUAGCGUGGGCUUGAAGUUUGGUUUUCACUCUUGCUGAGGGGGUUCUUGGUUAAGGCAGGUAAUCCCUCUAUACUCCAUUUCUGUAUCUGAAAAUGAGGCAUGAUUACUGGAUAAACAAAACAGUGGAAAGAGUGCCCAGGCCGAGCCCUGUACGUUAUAGAUGGCUCAGUUAAGGCUUGCUAUUGCUAUCAUUGACUUCAGGAACAUCGUUCUGGCUCAAGUACCAAGUUCUAGAGGAAGUGCUGGUGGCCAGCAGGUCACAUGUAAUAAUAACAGGUGAUUUGAUUUGGGGAAAAGCACAGCAUAUCUAGGCAAACAGCACAAAGAAAGCCAAAGACAACUGGAAACAUGGUUGCUUUCACUACCCAGUGGAGACAGCUCACACUGAUGUUAUAUUUGGGCAGCCAUGAGCUCUUUCUGCAUCAUCAGAAGUACACCAGCAUUUAUUUACAGAACUCUGUGUUAGGGCAGCUGGGAAAGUCUUAAAGGAAAUGAAAAGUAGAACCUAAGGGAAACAGAGUCUGGGGAGGGGAAGACUUCUGUGUGGAGGACAUAGAGACUGAUACAAUAUACUUAAGUAUAAUUUGUGUGUGGGUUUGCUUCUUGUUUUUCUUUGUUUUUAACUCGAGUCUCAUGUAUUCCUAGUAACAAUCAAGAAUGUAGCAAGAAUGCAAAGGAUCAGGGAGUGGAUUAUACAGGAGAAAGUGUGGGAGUUAGGAAAGCCAUUCUAGAAGUAUUUUUUCCUAUUCAUGUCAGCAAGGGUUUACUGAACAUUCCUGUGUAGCAAGUCUGUGCUGUUAAAAAUAAGAUAAAGAGAUACUAUGCAUCUCUGACCACGUUCCAAUGACUAUGCAAAGCCAGCCAGGAAUACAUUUGUAAAGCUAUCUCUUGUCCUGUGAUGAGAGAAACAAGCAUUCUUAAGUGACUACAUAAGGUAGUAAGAGAGCACAGAGACAGAGACAGACAGAGUGGGUCAAAGAUAUACCAUGACAUGAAACUACAGUUUACACCCUGGGGCCUUUGAGAAUGACAGACCUAACUAGAGUACUGGAGAGUUUAGAUGAAAGGCUGAGAAACAUAUGCCCAAGUAUUAGGCAUGCAGAAAGAGCAGGUUCUUUGGAACAUCUGCAGGUGGGAAUGACAAGGAGCAGCAUCCACUGAGGUAUACCAGGAUCCAGCUGUUUUUGCAGAUGGGGUACUGGAGAGAAACAGUUCAGUAUUCUGAUGAUGUAAGGCUGGAAAGUACAGGAUAUAUCAGAGGAGAUACAGAACAGCAUUAGCUUUCCAGGAAGGUGGGGAAGCUCCACCAAAGCAUGUCAGACAGAGAUAUACCAUACCAAAAUUUGUUUAAAUUUUAUGGACAGUGCAGAGUUAAGUGUAGAGUAUAUUAAUAAGGCAUAGGAAUGCCUACACGUAAGAAAAUCUUAUGACAGCAGCGGUGUGUUUUCUCUCACAGUGAAGGGGUGGUGACAGGAGGGCAGUGACUGAUUCAGGUACUCUGCUCUCUGCAGUUUGGCUUUGUCAUGCUUUGCUCUCCUAGAGGCCAUUCUGCCAUAAGAAGAUGAUUGGUUGAGCACAGGACCUUGCAAUUGUGUUUAAUGAUACAAGAGUGGGAUAUAAGCCAACAGUUCCUUUAUCAUCCAUCAUAAAGGCCCUUCCAGAGACCAACAGCCUUAGUAGAUUUCUGCAAGUCAGGUACAUACCAUCUCCAAUGGCCACCUUUGGCUGUAAGAAAAGCUAAGCAAGCAGUAAUUCUCCUUGUAUAAAAGGUUUUGGCAUGGGAAACUGGGAAUAAACAACGAAUAAGUUAAGCUACCAUUUCUUCUACCAUAGGGAGCAGGUGAGAUACAAUGAGGACCUGCAGCAGGCUAAUGGUAACAAUACAUGCCUUUAGAAGAAACAUGGAAUUUAGAAAUUCUUCUAGUUCUUGAUGUGGAGUCUCAGGGGAAACUCAGAAAAAGGCUGGAUAUAGGUUUAAAAGCCAAAGGCUCAGGGCUGGGUCUGAGACUCUAGCUGUGAUGAGGGGCCAUUAGAAGAGUCCGGACACUCCAGGAUGGCAUGGAGCAGAAAGAGAAUCAGGUCUCAGAAAUGACAUGCUUUUAGAGCAGAGGCAUAAAACAAAGACCUUAAGGAAGAAUAUAAGGAGAUGACCAGAGAGGAGAGCCGGGCAGAGAAUUUCUAGAAAGAGACUCCAGAAGGGCAAGAAAUACCAAAGAGGUCUAAAGGUAAAAGGCUGGAAAUUGCAUAGAGAAUUUUGUCAUAUGAUUUCAUAGCUGGUCUCGAUCUGAGCCAUCUAUUGGUGGAAAUGGAACAGUCCAUUUCCCUGUAUUGUAAAGGAAGGCAGCUGGCUAGUUCAAAUUCCUUCUCAGCAGAGACUCUAAAAAUGCAGAGGAAGGAAAUCAAUGCAGUAGGAAGUAGAGAAAAGCAUUAAUGGCUUGACUGGGGUAUAGUUAGGGAUUAGGAGAAAGGCCAAUAGAAAGGGAAUGGUAGAAGACACAGGAGACACUUGUAGGAAUGAGUAAAGGCAUUCAGGCAUCACCCUUUAUCCAUGGGUUUGUAUUUUAUUGCCUUAGUUAUUCAUGGCCAACUACCUGCAGCCCCCAAACUUCCAGAAAUAAAUAAUGCAUAGGUCUUUUUCAGUAAGUCUUAUUAAAGCAUCUUGUUCCAUUCUGUUUUUGUUAAUGCCUCUAUGGCUUACUUUUAUUAUGAUUUUUAACUACGUGUAGGUAUGUGUGUCUGCAUGUCUCUGGUUUCCACAUUCCCUAGAGUAUGAGACAGUCCUGAGUUGCAUGAAGUAGGUGCUCAGUACCAAACUCAGGGGCUCCAUGAGAGCAGCAAAUUCUUUUAACUGCUGAGCAGUCUCCAGUCCCUUCAGCUGCACCCAAUUAACAACUCAGUGCUGUCCUAGGGGUGCAUAGAAAAAGCCCUAACACACAGUUUCAGAAAUCCAGGGGAUGUGUUCUGCAAUGGAAGAGGUAGCAACUGUAAUCAUGACUGCCAGACCAAUUUUAGUUGUCUGUCAGAAUGGGGGCCACCAUUCCUAGCUUUGCUGCACACAGAAUCUGAACAGUAUGAAGUUUUUGAGUCCAAAGAAAAGAAGAGGAAGGCUGUUGGGAAAGAAUCUGAAUGCCCCCCAUACCAUCUCUGUACUUAAAAUUGUAGGAAACCUACAUGCUCAGUAACACAGACGACAAGACUGCAAGACUCACAGUCGUUAUACACUGUACAUCUUACAUCAAAUACUAUCUUGCGCGUGUUAUUUCUUAGGCACAACAUAAUUCCACAUGAGCCUCAGUCUGAGAAGACGUGCUAAUUUGCCCUAUUCUAUUUUUUCACAGGCCAUCACACCAACCUUGGAAUAUAGUUGGAUAGCAAAGUUAUGCAAAGAGUCCCUGAGUACUACAAGAGCUGGUCUACACACAGAGUGUGGUCCUCUGACUUUUCAUGGGGCAUGCUUGUCUGACAGUCUAUGGAGCAUAUACUUCUGGCCUGUCCUUGGAGCGUGCUCGUCUGACUCACCAUGGAGCAUGCUCAUCUGACUCACCAUUGAGCAUGCUCCCCCACCUAUGCAUAGAAUGUGCUCUUGAGAACUUGCAUCUAUCUGCACACAGAGAAACAGAUGUGCUUUCAUUUUCCUAAGCAAAAUAACAGGAAGUAUCAUCAUUCUUGAGGUCACAGUAUUCAUAACAGGAAUGUGUGGAUAGUCACGUGAGAUCUAUUGGGAAGCAUGGUGUCUGGUUCAGUCCCUAUCUUGAGGGAGAUAAAAUAAUCUCAGUUCUCAAAUGGUGUCAGUCACCGUAAGGACCCAAUCCAAGAGGACUAAACACUUCUGUAGUCCCUUAUCAUCUGAGCUUGAAAGGGGCCUCUGCCUCUUCAGCCAGCUGGGCAGCUCACAGAAAUUCUAUCCUUGCAAACGGAGAUAUAGGUACCAGAGAAGCAGCUCUUCCCUCUGAUUAGUGGAACAGCUAUGACAGAAAUUGCCUUUUCCCAAAGACACAAAGUGACAUAUUAAAGGAGAAGCCUCUCUUUUGGUGCCAUGGAGUCAUUUAAAAAUAAAUGUAGAAACUCCAAAGAAUGUCUGUUUAAGCACAGCUGUAAUUCAGGGACACAAGACCAUUCACUUCAGCCAUCUCUCUGCCGGAUUCACUUCUUGAUCCUCAGAUUAUGUAGGAAUCAAAUCCAGUACUAUCUUUACUUUCAAAGUCAGUUUGCCUGUUUUGCUGGUGACUACAUGGUAUGUUAGAGCCUUGUACUUAUGCUUCAGUUUCCAAACCUAAUCGUGAUCAUGGGCCAGUAAUGUCGAGGACCAGGUCAUGAAAGCCCUCAUAGCUUACCCACCUGGGUAAGCUUGCAGGAAUAUUGCCAAAUGAAUGAGAGACUGAUGAAAACUGGAGUACAGUAGUGGGUGUGUUGCUAAGCAGCCUGGUAAAGAGGAUUACAAAUUAGGUCCGAUUAGUAGAAAAGGUGGGGUAAACAGUGAGAAAGACCGCUGUUCUGGGCUAGCAAAACUGGGUCCUAGUCCCAGGACGGCUUGCUUGGCUUUACUCACUCAACAAAUACUCCUCGAAUUUCUAGGCAUUUGACAGGCUCAGAAUAAGACAACAUUUCUUCUCCCAAAACAUACUGAAGGUGUCUAAUUGGAUCACAAGAGAGAUAUGGGAAGACAUUCCACCUUGGUAAGUAAACGUGGGGUAUGUGCUGAGCAAGAGGCUUCUAAAUCAAGUUGUUGUCCAGGAAAGCAUUCUGAAGACUAUUGCUUCAUGCCUUGAGGGAUACAAAGGGUCAUUUGUAGACUGGUGGAAAAAUUUGCCCACCACAGGGAACGGGACUAGUGUUGUUCUACAUCAUGAAAUGUAGGAGGUGGCAUUUGACAGCUGGUAGCAUAGCCAGAGGUGAAUAUAACCUAAGUUACGUUGGAAAGUAAAAAUGCCAUUGAGUCAGUACAAUUUGCAGUUGAAGGUAGAAGUCUAGAGUCAAGACAAAACUGGGUUUAAAGAUAAACUUUGACAUACACCAGUCACGUGACAGUAAUCACUUAAAAAACAAACAAACAAACAAACAAACCAAAAAAAAAAAAAAAAAAACCAAACACUCUUCAAGUUUAGUUUCCUUAGCACAGUGUUCUCCUGAUUUGGUUAUCUAUUUAUGUCCAGCAACUCCUCUCAAAUGAAAUGCCUUAAGACAACACAUAUUUAGUAAUUCUCAGGGUCAUUAUGAAUUAAGAAUGUGUUAUGGCUUAAAUGAGGCCCUUGCUUCAAGGGUCUAUCACAUGGCUGCAACCAAAGUCAACCAUGGUUGUGGUGCUAUCUCAAGACUCCAGAAGCUCAUUUACAGGUCUCUUGGCAGAGUUUGAUUCUUGCUGGCUGGUGACCAGAGACUCUCUGGAGUUCUUUACUAUGUGUUGCCCUCCUAAGGCAGUAUAUAGCUUCCUCAGAACCAGUGGAGAUAUGGUGUUGACUGGCAAGACAGAAAGGCCAUUGAAGUGAAUUCUGAUCACUAUGGCCCCAUUCUGUUGGUCAGAAUUCACAAGCUAGCCUACCCUUCUCAGGUUGGCAGGGGUGGGUUGUUGGAGAGUAGGAGUGCAUGGGAGGAUGGGCAUUUAUACAAGAAAGAGAACACUAGGAAAUCAAGCUGUGGGGAUUCCAUCUUUGAUUUUGGUUUGCCUCUAAUUUGUAGGCUAGACCUCCAGUCAAAGUUAGAGCUAUUGUUAUGCUGAAUGGAGGAAUGCUUAGCCAGAGGAGAAAUGUUGAGCCAGAGGCAGAAUGUACGGUGGGUGGAAGAGUAAAUAAGGUUAAAUAAAUAACUAAGAGUAAAUAAGAGUAAAUAAUUUGGACAAGUCAAAUCGCCUCCUGCCUCUGAGACACCAUUUUGUCCUCAGCAAAAUGUAAAUAGUUGGUCACAGGGGGACAAAUGAGGCAAAAAAAAGUGCAAGCUUCAGUUUGUUUUCUGAGGGAGAAAACAUAGCUCUCUCCAGCUUGCAGGGACAAACUGCUCUGGGCCUUUUCUGUUGUGUUGAUUAGGAGUCUGUCAGUCUGGUAUCUUCAAGGAUUUUAGUAUUUGGCCCCUUGGAGACAAUUUUAAAGAAAUAUAUGAAAUAAUAUAUAAAUAAUUAAGAAUUACAUGGCUGGGAAAAACACAACGAGAAAGCUGGUUUUGGGAGUCCUUUAAAGUAUGUCUAAGGCUUUUUUAAAAACUACCUUUGCUUCUAAGGAUCCCGUGGCGGGUGGGCCUAGCUGAGAGAAAAUUGGCUAUACGUGGGAAAUUUCACGCUCCUGAUAUUAAAAUGGUAAUAAAAUCUCAUCCGGCUCCCAAGGCUUAGAGCAGAGGGGAUGUUGUUUAUGGUGGAGGGGGUUCCCCAACACAGGUGCACCUCACAGGUUGUGAGGUUUCCAGCCCUACAGGGCAGCUGGGGUUAUGGACUCUGCUAGGGCAGUUCCUUCACUUUGGGAGAAAACACUCAGUUGUCCCGCCCUGGCGCCAGGCAGCUUCACUCCAGGCUUCAAUUGAAUGGUGUCACACAAAGUGGGAUUCACAGUCUGCGCUGGGGUGGUUUGCCCCAGGGAAGGUAAACAGCUGGGGAGGACAUUUCAGAGGGUGGCAGUGUCCUCCCAAAGGUUAGCCAGGGAUUGGGGAUAGGACUUGGGGGUCAGCCUUUCACAAAGGCAUGCUUCUCAGCAGGAAAUGCGGGUGGGGCGGAGCAGUCCCCGGAUAGAGACAAAGAUUCUUUGAAUCUUUAUCCGAUGGCCUGGCCUCUUGCGAGAGGGGUACCUGGGACGCCAGGGCAGGGAGAAAACUCCAGUGUGUAAUCUCAUUACCCUCCCUCGCUCUGCCAACCUAGAGCGCACAGUCGCUUAGAACCUACAGCUGCCCGCGCACUGAGUGUCCCUCCAGCCCAGGAGAUCACCUCCUGCAGCGUCAUUACCCAUACUGGAGAGUCGUGGGUAGCCCAGGAGUACUUGGGACAGCCCAGACCAGAUCCGGCCAACAGUCUCACCUUCCCAGGCUGGCUGCUCUACCAAACUACAGCAGUCUUAGGAAACCUAAUGAGAACCAGUUGUAGUAGCCGCUGGCAUACAUUCUCAGAGUCGCUGAUUGGUCAGUGGCUGAGAGCUGUAGCCAAUCAGCGCGGUUUUGGGGUCCGCAUUGCGGACCAAAGGUCCGAGUGGGCAUCUGCAGGCACAGUGGCCUGCAGAGACUCGAGGUGUGGAGGGCAGAGCCAGGGAGGAAUGAGCAUGUCUUGGGACCCCACAGCCAGGCGCCAUCACCGCCUAUCGCUGCUCCUGGUGCUCGUGCUGCUGUCACGAGCCGGGGCUCUGCGUCCUGUGGAGCUCUUUCCUUACGGGGACUUGUGGGGAGAUCUGCUGCCACAGGAGGGCGACUUUGAAAGCUCCCCGGCUGUGAAGCUAGCAGUACCUCUAUGCUUCUACGGUGUCCAGUUCAGCAACCUCUAUGUGGGCACCAAUGGCAUCAUCUCCACCCAGGACUUACCCAGGGAGACUUAAUAUGUCAUUGAUGAUUUACCUACUGACUUCCCAGCCAUUGCCCCAUUCCUGGCUGACAUCCACUCUAGUCACAGCAGUGGCUGGAUCCUGUAUGGAGGACACUUCCUGGGCUGUGCUGAGUCUGGCUGCUUGCUACCUGUGCACAGGCUUCCCGCUGACCGGGUCCAGUUUCCCCACUACCCACUUCUUCCUGGCCACCUGGGAGCAAGUGGGCGCCUAGGAGGAGGACAAGCUUGGGGCUGCAUGGUCUGGAGAGUGAGCUGCAUAGUUCUCCUAAGCAAGGAGAUGGUCUUCAUCCUCCUUACCACUUCCACCCUUGCCUACCCCAGGGACUUUCUGACAAGAGAUGAAAUUGCUUCUUGUGGCUAUGAAGGUCCAUUAAUGAACAUAAGAGGAAGGACCAUGGAAAGGAGUAUAUCUCUUACAUAUUCACAGAAGAUUAUGCUAAGCAGGAAUACUGCAUAUAAGACCUAAAUUUCAUUGGAAGAACCUGACUGAGGAAGUGAAAAGGAAAGGAUGGGAAAUAGGAAAACAUUUGAAAAUAAGGCUGUUGACAGGCUGGAGAGGAAGGAGGAGAUUGAAAAUUUAAAUUGUGCUACCUGAAACAAUGUAUUUUCAUGGAUACAAAUAUGUCUUUGCCUAUUUAAAAAAGUACUAGUUACUAUGAGGUAGGAUUUAUCCAUGUCAGUUAUGGUACAAUAUGCUUUAGGAAUUUAAUUCCUGGGGACUUAAAUUGAAAGUUAGUGGUAUGGUUAUUUAAAAACUCAUUAAAAACAAUUUAAAGAGAUAAUUUCACAGUGUAAUUGUGUACUUUUCUCCAUUUCCAUUGCUUAUAUAGAUACGUAUUACUUCUUACCAUCUUUUAAAUGAUGUUUAGUUACUUACAAUAGUUUUUCUUUAUGUGAGCAUAGUUAUAAAUACAUAUGAUAAUAUAAAAUAAUACAAAGAAUAAUGUAUUCUACCUUACUUAUCUGUUUGUAAAUACUCAUUUGUGUUUGUGUGUGUGUGUGAAUAUAUGUGUGUGUGUAUGUGUGUGUAUGUAUAUAUGUGUAUAUAUGUGUAUAUAUAUGUAUAUAUAUGUAUAUGUAUGUGUAUAUAUGUAUACUAGAUAAGAUCGAUGAUGUUAUAAAAUGCAUCUUGAAAGGAACCGGAUAUAGAUCUCUCCUGAAAGACACAUCCAGAGCAUGUCCAAUACAGAAGUCAAUGCUAUCAGCAAACCACUGAUCUGAGAGCAACACCCUUGGAGGGAAUUAGAUGAAAUAUUGAAACAGUUGAAGGAGGAUGCAACCCAAUCAAAACAACAAUGCCAACCAAACAGAGCUUCCAGGGCCUAAACCAGUUCCGAAAGACUAUACUAUACUCUAUCAAUCCCACAUAAUCUGUGCAUUUUCCAUGUCUCUACUGGUCAGAUAUAGCUUCUUAAAAACAGUUUUGUAAGCAGGACCUACCUCUCUCUACAACUGACACAGACUUGCUCAGUGUGACUGGGUACUUCUCUACAGAUAUGAUUAUAAGUCUCAAAUUCCCAGGAUUUAUGGUAACAUCAGGAGGAUUGAUAGACACAAAAAGAGGUGGCGAACAUUUUAUCCCUUGAAAGAGUUUUCAGAAAAAUGUAGAAUCAUCCACAGUGUAAGUCAGUGUGACUCCAGAUGGCCUUGUCCAUGACUGAUGAAGUGAUACAAUUUUGAUAAUGACUAUAUGCAGUACAAUGAAGAAAUGGAGAGCUUGUAGGGCAUGCAAACUUGGUACUAAAUAUAAAGGCCACCAAAUUUACCUUAUCAACUGAGAAGUGGUUUCCAUGGAAUUGCCACAGUAGAAUACUGUCACUGAAGCACUCAUAUGCUAUUCCUUGCAGCAGCUACAUGGCCACUGCCAGAAAGAGGUAGCAACUCUGCUAAAUUAUUUCUGAUACAUGCAUGAGGAUCUGAGUGCAGUCUCCAGAGAACAUGUAAAAAGUCAUGGGACUGUGUUCCAAGCUAAUCAUCCUGGUGCCUGUGAAAUGGAGAAGAAAGAAACCCUGUGGCUUGACAGAGCCCCAGUCUAGCUAUAUUGGUAAUCCCAUGGUCAGCUUGAGACCAUGUCAGAAAAUCAAUACAGUAGAGAGUGACUGAGAAUGAUAUCCAUUGACCUUUGACCUCCUUAUUCACACCUGUGGACAUGCACCUGCAGACAUAUGUACCCCCACAUAAACAUGUACAUACAAAGUACUGCGACCUUAUAAGCAGACUCAAGCCUCUUUAGAAAGUUUCAUGUCAUUUUUAACCCUGCAACAUCUCUCAUACAGCACACUGUUCCUUAUUGUUUGCACUUUAUCUUUUUUUAGUUUUAGAUAUAUUAUGCCCAUUGUCUAUCAUAAUGAAUUUCAUCUUUAAAAAUAACCUCAGAAUCAUUAUAUUCAUUCAGCCUCCUUGUCUUUAGGCAACAGAAAUCAUUUUUUAACUUAUUUUUACAGGAGACUGGAGAGAUGACGGAGAAGGAUCUGGCAAUGGAAGUGAACAAGGAUGGAAAGACUCAGAAAUCUGACGAUUGCUUUGGCUUUGACACCAGACAUGGAGAUGCAGAUUUUGGAGUUUGCUCAGGUUAAUUUUCAUCUUGUUUAAUCCAGUGUUUUCUUACCAUGACAUUUUGGAAUGAUAAUGUAUAUCCUGCAUGAUAUUGGGGGUAUGUUGUCUUCUUUAUGUUUUUGAUUUUUAAGGGAUUACAGUUUAGAGAUUACCUAAUCUCAGAAGAAACAUUGAACUUUGAACUCCUAACAUUGGAGAAACUCUUAUAGACUAUGGGAACUGUAAAGUUGGAAUAAUGUAUUUUGCAUUGUGCUGUGCCUAGUUAUGUCCUCUCUAGAGUCAUGUAUUUGAACUGUCCUAUUGUAACCAGGGAGUAGAAUGUGGUUUGAAUAUAUUUGGCAAAUUGGAAGUGGUACUAUCAUGAGAUGUGGCCUUGUUUGAGGAAAUGUGUCACUGUGGGCAUGGGCUUUGAGACACUCUCUCUAGCCAGGUAGGAACCAGUCAUCUCCUGCUUGCCUUUGAAAUAAGAUAUCACAAUUUCAACUCCUCCAGGACCAUGAUUUCUGCUUUGAUGAUAAUGGAUUGAACCCCUGAACCUGUAAAGCAAGCCCCAACUAAAUGCUGUCCUUUAAAAUAUUCACCUAGGUCAUAGUGUCUCUUCACAGUAAUGAAAAUCCUAACUAAGACAAUGGUGUAGUAAGUGCUGCUUUCACAAAGAUUAGUUCUCAAAAUGGAGGAACAUGUCCCAUUGGAGGCCUUCAGAGGUUUGUAGUUGAAGACAUUGGAACUACUCAUGCGUUUGUUGAGCAGAAACGGAUUGGAAAAAAAAAAACAUGACACAUACUGCUAUCCCUGGAAUUUCAAAACUCUCUCACACAUGUGACUUCAUAUGAUUGAAGCUAAGAUGGAUAUUGGCAUUUCACUAACUUCAGUACUAAGUAUAGGGUCUGAAACAGACCUGAAGAAGACCCUUUUAAUAUCUUGUUUUACAGGGAACAUGUACAAAAUAUUAAAAAGUACCCAAGAGUCAAGUAUGGAGAAAGUCUGGUAACAAGAGAUCCAGGAGACAUGGGCUAAAUGUUUCUUUAACUCUUUAUCUCUUCAUAAAAACAGUUCACUAUGAGCUGUUGGCUCUUGGAGAAGACUGGUGAGGAGUGUCAGCAAAACUGACUCUAUUGGAUGCUUUACCAUAGAACAUGGGGCCUUCAGUUCAAUAAAUGAUUCAUGCCAUUGAUGUAGUUCUCUGUGUUUUCCUUUACACAAAAGAUAUAUUAAUAAAAUACAUGAUUUAGGCAUGGAAUAGUAGUUCAGGAUGGAAAAGUUCUUGCUGUGUCAGCAAAAGGAUCUGAUUUAAUCCCUAGCAACAAUAUAAAAAGCCAAGCAUGAGAGUUGGGGCACAGACAAAAGAGGAUCACUGGCCUUGCUAACUCCCAGCUUAGCUCCAAGUUCAAUGAGUGACAUUGUCUCAAGGAAAUAAGGUGGCAAGUAACACAGCUGGAUGCAUGAUGUCAACAUCUGUGUACCAUGUAAACCUGGGUCCAAAGGCAUAGUAUAUGCAGAUUCUGAAAAAAGGCAAAAUUGGAAAUUUGUUAUUUCUACAAAACUAUCACUUGAGGCACUCUGCGGAAAAAAAUUCAUCAUGGAAAAUAGUUGUUAAUGAAUAAAAUGAGUCUCUGGGCUCAUAUUUCCAAUUACAGCAGUAGAAUGGUUGAGGGGACAAAGCUCCAGAAAGAGACAUUUGGGAGCACUCCCCAAUCAAAUAGGAGCCUGAGAAACAAGGCUACAGAUCUGCUCCAGACAGCCAUUUAUGCCUAUUAACUCAGACUAUGAAUAUUAAUAUAUUCUGGAAGAGAAAGCCAGGGACCCACUCUUUUAUCUUGCUGUGCAGAAACUGAAUAUUGAAUGACCUUGAAUAAAUGGAGUGUUAUUGAUGCCAUUUUUGUCUCAAAAGAAGGAAAACCAGGGAGCCAUCCCUAAUCUCUCUUUUUUGUUUGGUUUGAGUUUUAGUCUUAAAGAAACCUAAGCAAAAACUCAAAGUACCAGGCUAUAAAGACAAGUGUAAUUUUAGAUAGUGUGGCCUGUGAAGAGCUCAUAUUUUCUCUAUCUGUUAGCAAGACUAGACUCUCUGAACUCGACAAAGAAGGAGCAUAUUCCCUUUCACUACCAAUUGAAGAUGAUUUAAGAAUGAGAAGACCCCACCCGAAGGUUUGUGCUCUCUAAGGAAAAUUAGGCACAUAAUGAGAAAAGACUGCCAGGAUUCAUUAGUGGUGCAGUUCCACAUUUUAUUAAGUGCUGUGAGCCUGGUUUAUUUCAUGAAAAGGUCUGAGUGCAUGAAGGACAAGAUAUUAAAGACAAUAAAGAAAAGCAGUUUCACUACAUAAAGGUGCUGUGUGUCUAAAGCAUACAAACUCCGCAGCAAUCACAAUCAUGAGGUUAGAAAAUGGCUAACACCAUCUUUAGUAUUUGUUGUUUUAUAUUUUGUUUUAAUGAUUUUUUUCUUCAUUUGGAGAUGUUUUAAAGCAUCUUAUUAUUAAUAAGCUUAUUCUUUGACAAUUAUUUACAUAAACAUAAUGCUCUUUGAUUACCCUCUCUCUUCCUGUGAGACUAAAACAGGAACAAUAUACAUUACAAGUUAAUGAGAAAACAAAACAAUAAAAAUAUACCUUGCAGGUUGAGGAUUUUUUUUGUAGUGAAGAUUAAGUUCCAGUUUUUACAAUGUUAAAUCUGUGAAAUACUUACAGAAUAAGUUUGUUUGUCCUGUAUUAAGUCUUUGCAAGUUAAGAUUUCUAUUUGUAAUUAAGAAUACAUUUAUUUCUAUUCUGACGUAAAAUGCAAAAUCUGUUUUGAGGUAUUUACUCAUUUACUUAUUUAUUUAUUUGUAUUUUUUUUCAAGACUGGGUAUAACUAGCUCCAGCUGCCCUGGAAAUAGCCCUGUAUUUUUAAUUGAUAAUCUUAUAGCAUAGAGUAUUGCUGUUCUCUUCAGAAUGUUGUCUCAUAUGCCAAAGUGUUUAAGGCUAUUUUCUAAUUUCUCCUCUAUCAAGUUCAGUGUUUCUGGUUUUAUGGUAAGGUCAUUGAUCUACUUGUACUUGAGAUUUGAGCAUGAUAAUAAAUAGGGCAUCAUUUGCAUUCUUCCACCUGGAGACACCCACUUUGACAAAAUCUAUUUUUUGAAGUUUUUCUUUACAGAUGAUAAUUUCUGGCUUCCCUGUCCUUAGGUGUGAAUUUAUCUCUGGGCCUACAAUUCAAUUCUGUUUGUUGUUGUAUCUGUUUUUAUGCAAAUACCUUGUGGGUUUUAUCACUGUAGCUUUAAAGUAUGACUUGAAAAUCAGUGAAAGUAAUACCUCCAACAUUUUUUGUUGUUCUUUUUGUUGUUCUUUUUUGUUUUGUUUUUCAUAUUCAGUAUUGUUCUAGAUAUCCUGGGUUCUUGGAUUUUGGUUUUCUCUAUGAAGUUGAGAAUUGCCAUUUCCUGGUCUGUAAAGAAUUGUGUUGGAAUUCUGAUGGGGAUUGCAUUCAGUCGGUAGACUUUUUUGAUAAAAACGACCAUUUUUACUGUUAAUCCUACCAAUCCCUGAGGAUCGAGAUCUUUUCAUUUUCUGGUAUCUUCUUCAAUUUUUCCUUCAAAUAUUAUAAGCUUAUAAGCAUAGAAAUCUUUCAUUGACUUGGAUAGACAUUAUCUAUAUCUUGAGGCUCAUGUGAAGAGUGAUUGUUUCCUCAUUUUCUUCCUCAGUCUGUUUAUCAUUUCUAUAUAGAAAGGCUACUGAGUACUUACUGUUAAUCUUGUAUGCAACUACUGUGCUAAAAGUGUUUAUCAACUCUGGGAGAUACCUAGAAUAAUUUUUAAUGUCACUAAUGUACUCUUAUUUCAUCCAAAGUUAAUGAUACUUUCAAUUCUUCCUUUCCAAUUUGUGUCCCCUUGAUCUCAUUUGGCUGUCUUAUUGCUAUAGAUAAAACUUCAAGUGCUAUGUUGAAUAGUAUGAACAGAGUAGAAUGUCUUGUUCCUUAUUUUAGUGGAAUUAGUUUCCAUUUCUAUCCAUUCAAUUUGGUGUUAGCUAUCGACUUGAAGUAAAUCGAGAUAUGUUCCUUUUCCACGAAUCUUGUGAAUAGUUUUACCAUGAACGGGUGGUGGAAUUUAUUAAAGACUUUUCACAUAUCACUAUCUGCAGAUGAUAUGAUAGCAUAUUUAAGUGAUCCCUAAAGCUCCACCAGGGAACUACUAAACCUGAUAAACACCUUCAGCAAAGUGGCUGGGUAUAAAAUUAACUCAAAUAAAUCAGUAGCCUUCCUCUACACAAAAGAGAAACAAGUCUAGAAAGAAAUUAGGGAAACGACACCCUUCAUAAUAGUCCCAAAUAGUAUAAAGUACCUCAGUGUGACUUUAACCAAGCAAGUGAAAGAUCUGUAUGAUAAGAACUUCAAGCCUCUGAAGAAAGAAUUUGAAGAAGAUCUCAGGAGAUGGAAAGAUCUCCCAUGUUCAAGGAUUGGCAGUAUUAAUGUAUUAAAAAUGGCCAUUUUACCAAAAGCGAUCUACAGAUUCAAUACAAUCCCCAUCAAAAUACCAAUCCAAUUCUUCAGAGGGUUAGACAGAACAAUUUGCAAAUUCAUCUGGAAUAACAAAAAACCCAAGAUAGCUAAAACUAUCCUCAACAAUAAAAGGACUUCUGAGGGAAUCACUAUCCCUGAAGUCAAGCAGUAUUGCAGAGCAAUAGUGAUAAAAACUGCAUGAUAUCAGUACAGAGACAGACGGAUAGACCAGUGGAAUACAAUCGACGACCUAGAAAUGAAUUCACAUACCUAUGGUUGAUUUUUGACAAAGGAGCCUAAGUCAUGCAAUGGAAAAAAGAGCAUUUUCAGCAAAUGGUGCUGGUUCAACUGGAGGUCAACAUGUAGAAGAAUGCAGAUCGAUCCAUGCUUAUCACCCUGUACAAAGCUUAAGUCCAAGUGGAUCAAGGACCUCCACAUCAAACCAGACACACUCAAACUAAUGCAUCAUUAAGAAAAUAUUUGCAAAUAUUAGAAACAAAGAAGAUAUAAUUAAAUAACUGAGUAGCAGUGAACUUCAGGUGCUCAAGAUACAGACAUAUAAGAAUAAAAGAGAGGAAUCAUAUAUAGCAACUCUGAAUUUGGGAGAACACUAAGUAUACCAGUUAACUUUUCCAAUUUUUGUGACAAAACAUAUAACAGAAGCAACUAAAGAAAGUAUUGUUUAUUUUGAUUCACAUUUUGAUGAUCCAGUGCAUCUCCUCAGGGAUAUCUGUCACAGUUGCCCACACAUGAUGCUGCUAUGUUACUCUGCAUCCAUGGUCAGGAAGCAGAGAGAUGAAUGCUGGUCCUUAGCCCACUUUCUCAUUUUCACUUACAUGAGAUGUCAGUCCAGGAAUUGUCUUUUCAAAAUUCAGGUUGGGUGUUCCUUGCUCACCCAACCAUCCUCACAAACCAAGGUGUGCAACCACCAUGAUCUGUACCUCAUUAAGUUUUCACUGGAGAUUAAGCAUCACAGAAAGAAAGAUUUAAUCAAACCACUGCAGUACCCAAUGAGGGCAUGAGAAACUGUAAAGUCAUAUACUCUAACAUUUAUCCUAUUAAGGCAAAAAAUUAAGACAUGUUAACAAUAUACUAAAAUUUUAUUUUUGUUCUUUUAUUCUACAUCUCAUCAACUUCUUUCUCUUCCCUACAUAGCACUUUCUCCUUGUCCCUUUCCUAGAUACCUUAUGAUAAAUGUGAUAAAAGUAUCCUGAACAAAUAGCUUAGGGGAGAAAAAGUUCAUUUUGUCCAUUAUUUCAGAAAGAUAUGAUAUAUCAAACUGGGAACUGCCUGGCAGCAGACAUAGAAGAGAAUUCAGCAAGAGUAAGAAGUAGUUGGUCACAAUGUAUCUAUAUUCAGGAAUCCAAGAACAAAAAAUGAAAAUUAAGCCUGAUUACAAAGCCUCGAGGCCCUUUCCUAGUGACCCACUUCCAACAAUGCUCCACCUCCUAGAAAUUCCACAAGCAUCCGUAUAGCAUCAGUAGUUGUGGUCCAUAUGUUCAAAUAGGUAAGUCUAUGAGGGAGUUACCAUUUAAACCACACAACCUGUUUGCUCCUUUUCCACUCUAGAGCUGAUAGGGCCUUUAUGAGUUCAACCCUGCCAAUUGUCAAUGCUCUCUCUCACUGGUUCAUCCACUCAUCCUGUCAAGUCACACUCCUUUUCACUUCCCAAUGAACUUUUGAAUCUCUGAUAAUUAUUUCAAAGCAAACAAAAGGCCACACAAAAUGAACCAUUUCUUUUUGUCUUUUUAAUUUCCUAAAUGACUUGUUUCAUACUAUUAACACACUUUAGACAUAUCCUCCCUUCUGUAGAUAUCUGUAUGUCCCAGCUCAAGUAAGUGUUCCUUCCUACUGUCCAUAGUCAAAUGCUCUGUUCUAUUUUGCAACACAUGUGUUGGAUUAAGUGGAUAUACGUGUAAUAAUUAUGAAGAAUCUUGCUACUGUGCUCUUAAAAUAUUGCUUGACUUUUAUCAUUGUGUCCAGUUCAGUUCCCUCUGUAUACUCUUGUAUCUUCGGUUCUCCAAAGUACAAAAGUGGAACAUCCUCUCUCAAGUUGGCAGACAUUUUCUUAUCAUCUCCAUUACACUUUUUCUGUAGCUUUAUCCAUCAACUUG
Rattus norvegicus (Norway rat) is the source of this 24442-nucleotide non-coding RNA. The record is from RefSeq and is a predicted model, not a curated record. Lineage: Eukaryota; Metazoa; Chordata; Mammalia; Rodentia; Muridae.